GGUCCUGAGCUCUGUCGCCCUCUCUAUCAUUCUCUGCGAUCUAAAGAAUCAACACUCUUAAUCGAAGCGUUCAGCAGCACGGAUCUGUCUCUCUUCUCUCCGAUCACUUAGGACCCGUGAGAGCUUUCUAUCAAUUUGCUCUUUAUCAAUUUUCAACUGGACAUCUCUCUCUCUCAAAAUCUUUUUCCUCUCUAGGGUUUCCAUAUACACGUUCCCUCCCCCAAUUGAAAAAAAAAAAGAAAAAAAAAAAGGAAAAAAAAAAAGAACGAGGAAAAAAAAUCAAAAAGCUAGGGAAGAAGGGGUUAAGAAAAUGAUGUAGAAGUACCAUUAAGGUUUAACCGGUUGACAGCAGCAUUACUUUCGGGAGCCAUCAGGAGCCCUACAUCAGCCGAUCUUUUGCAGCUCUUUUGCAUUUUGUUAAUUUUGUACCUUAUUUUUUGUUACAUUCCCUUUUUUUUUCUUCUUUUUUUCUCUGAUGUAACUGACAGAAUUGAAUUACAUGAUAGUACAAUUCUUCAAGCAUGACAAUUGCGCCACCCCUUGUCAGAAUGUUGCACGGGUAAGGUAACAGAGGCUGUGAGCUUGUAUUGUUGAUUAAAUGGUGGGUUGGAAUUCCAUCCAAGUUUUGGUAGAAAUUUGAUGGUGGUUAUGUUGGGUUGGAAUCAAUGCCACCGGAGCAUUUAUGUGUUCUGGGGAAGGCAGAUUGCAGGAUGGAUUGAUGAGGUGAGGUUUCAGGUGUGAGAUGAUUUCUGAUUAUCAUUGAGCAAAAUGCUACAAAUUAUUCCAAAGAGAUCGUUGCACUAUUGCCUUUGCUUCCGGAAUGUGAAGAAUUCAAACAUUUGUUGUGGCUUGUGGGGGGGAAAAAUGGCAUACAGCUCAAAUUUGCUUUUAUAUUUUUUAGGAAAGUUUAAUUAAAUUAAUUUUAUACUUUGAC
Molecule: unclassified non-coding RNA, 934 nt
Filed under: Hevea brasiliensis (rubber tree)
Lineage: Eukaryota; Viridiplantae; Streptophyta; Magnoliopsida; Malpighiales; Euphorbiaceae
Source: RNAcentral